This 119-nucleotide ribosomal RNA is filed under the name Sorex araneus (European shrew). The record is from RNAcentral. Lineage: Eukaryota; Metazoa; Chordata; Mammalia; Eulipotyphla; Soricidae.
GUCUACAGUCAUACCACCCUGAACAUGCCUGAUCGUGUCUGAUCUUGGAAGCUAAGCAGGGUCGGGCCUGGUUAAUACUUGGAUGGGAGACCAAUAGUUCAAAAAGGAUUCUUUCUAAC